This 350-nucleotide long non-coding RNA is filed under the name Homo sapiens (human). RNAcentral's name for it is "HSALNT0256963". Lineage: Eukaryota; Metazoa; Chordata; Mammalia; Primates; Hominidae. The record is from RNAcentral.
CUAAAGCACUGCUGGCCGCCGAUUCUACGCCGCCCGGUCGCCAGGGAGAGUGAAUACAGCUAGGGACGUGAAAGGGACUUCCCCUUCAAGCUUGCAAGAGUUGGAGAUGUUUGCAUUGUCUUCACAUUAUUGAUUUCUAGUCUGACUCCAUUAUGAUCCGAGAACACACUCCGUGUAAUCUGAUUUUUAAAAUUUGUUGAAGUUUGUUUCAUGGCCUAGGAGAUGGUCUAUCUUACUUUAUGUUCCAUGAGCCCUUGAAGAGAAUGCAUAUGCUGCUGCUGUUGAUUAAAUUACUCUACAAAUGUCAACCAGAUCCUGUUGAUGAAUGAUGGUGUUGAACUGUUGUCUUU